Molecule: long non-coding RNA, 1067 nt
Filed under: Vulpes vulpes (red fox)
Lineage: Eukaryota; Metazoa; Chordata; Mammalia; Carnivora; Canidae
Description: lncRNA (ENSVVUG00000002435.1)
Source: RNAcentral
UUUCACCACUGCCUGCCUUGCUCUGUCAGUUUAAAGAAAAGAUGAUAAUGGGCCUUCUUCCCGUUUUACAGCACAGCUGUCAUCAAAACGUGGAAGCUGUUUCUGAAGGCAGUUCUAGAGCGCAGCAAGGAAAAGGCAAAGUCAAGGCUUUCACGGACAUCUCCGAGCCCCAGUGACACACCUUGGCACCAAGUCCUGAACACGUCCCAACUCCCCGUUUGUUGCCAGAUGCUCCGCAGGCCAAACUCCCGCAGGGUAUUUCACCUUGGAAGCAGCCGACAUCUACUUAAACAAGAAAAAAAAUCAUCACAAAGAUAUAGGAUGGCUCAAAAGAAAUGGCCACCAAGCCCUGAGAAGACAAGGAGGGACCUUAACUGCUACCACUGAGUGAAAGGAACCAAUCUGAAGAGGACACGGACCACAGGAUUCCAACCGUGUAACCUCUGGAGAAGGCAAAACCGGAGACAGUGAGAAGACUGGUGGUUGGCGGGAGAGAUGAGCGCAUGGGGCACAGAUCUGGGGGGACGUGAGGCUCUUCUGCACGAUAUCCUAAUGGUGGCACCUGUCAGUGUACACUUGCCAGAGUCUAUUGGGUGUUCGUCGCCAAGGGUGAGCUCUGGGCUGUGAGGAUGCGUCCGAGUCAGUUCUGCGUUUUCCCCUCCCUCCCCCAGCCCGGGCACCCGUCCUAGCAAACCCCUCAAUGCCAGUCUCCAGCUUAGAUUCUGGAGAAAGCGCCGAUAUUUCCCGGUCACAGCUGUUGCCAAUAUCCUGAAAUAGUGUACCUGCUCGUCCCUAUUUCGAUGUUACAGUCAUUAUUAGCCUGCCGGGUCUUGUUACCCAGUACAUGACUAUAAAUAUAUAUUACUAUGUUAAAACCCGCUUUUAAUAUUCUCCUACCUGUAUUUCAGUAUCACUGGGGCUUUUUGGCAUCUCAUAGAUUUUAUUUCAUGGGUGCAGAGGAUGGCAAAAUGGGUCACCCCAGAAUAUGCCGCUUCGAUAUAAGGAUGAUUUUGAGCUAAAGGCUCUUGAGAAACGGCAGGUGCAAGAAGUCUCUGGCUUCCCCUCCU